This 206-nucleotide ribosomal RNA is filed under the name uncultured bacterium. RNAcentral describes it as "partial 16S ribosomal RNA". It matches the Rfam family "Bacterial small subunit ribosomal RNA", at positions 568 to 774 of the family's 1533-position model. The record is from RNAcentral.
CUCGUAGGUGGCCAACUAAGUCAGACGUGAAAUCCCUCGGCUUAACCGGGGAACUGCGUCUGAUACUGGAUGGCUUGAGUUCGGGAGAGGGAUGCGGAAUUCCAGGUGUAGCGGUGAAAUGCGUAGAUAUCUAGAGGAACACCGGUGGCGAAGGCGGCAUCCUGGACCGACACUGACGCUGAGGAGCGAAAGCCAGGGAGCAAACG